CAGCAGCCGCGGUAAUGCGUAGGGUGCAAGCGUUAAUCGGAAUUACUGGGCGUAAAGCGUGCGCAGGCGGUUUGUUAAGACAGAUGUGAAAUCCCCGGGCUCAACCUGGGAACUGCAUUUGUGACUGGCAAGCUAGAGUGUGGCAGAGGGGGGUGGAAUUCCGCGUGUAGCAGUGAAAUGCGUAGAUAUGCGGAGGAACACCGAUGGCGAAGGCAGCCCCCUGGGCCAACACUGACGCUCAUGCACGAAAGCGUGGGGAGCAAACAGGAUUAGAUACCCCGGUAGUCCCUGUCUCUUAUAC
Molecule: ribosomal RNA, 301 nt
Filed under: uncultured bacterium
Lineage: Bacteria
Description: partial 16S ribosomal RNA
Rfam family: Bacterial small subunit ribosomal RNA
Source: RNAcentral